Molecule: ribosomal RNA, 433 nt
Filed under: uncultured bacterium
Lineage: Bacteria
Description: partial 16S ribosomal RNA
Rfam family: Bacterial small subunit ribosomal RNA
Source: RNAcentral
AGCGAACGCUGGCGGCAGGCCUAACACAUGCAAGUCGAAUGAACUCUUCGGAGUUAGUGGCGGACGGGUGAGUAACACGUGGGAACGUGCCUUUUGGUUCGGAAUAACUCAGGGAAACUUGUGCUAAUACCGAAUGUGCCCUUCGGGGGAAAGAUUUAUCGCCAUUAGAGCGGCCCGCGUCUGAUUAGCUAGUUGGUGAGGUAACGGCUCACCAAGGCGACGAUCAGUAGCUGGUCUGAGAGGAUGACCAGCCACACUGGGACUGAGACACGGCCCAGACUCCUACGGGAGGCAGCAGUGGGGAAUCUUGCGCAAUGGGCGAGAGCCUGACGCAGCCAUGCCGCGUGAAUGAUGAAGGUCUUAGGAUUGUAAAAUUCUUUCACCGGGGACGAUAAUGACGGUACCCGGAGAAGAAGCCCCGGCUAACUUCGUG